Long non-coding RNA from Homo sapiens (human), 804 nucleotides. NCBI's taxonomy places the organism in Eukaryota, Metazoa, Chordata, Mammalia, Primates, Hominidae. The record is from Ensembl.
AUACUACUGCCUUCCUGGGGAGCCUCUCUUCUACAGAAACGUAAUUAGAAAUGCCUUACUUAAAAAGCUCCACUGGCUCCCUAAUGGAUCCAAUUUUUCAGGUGCCUCACCUGGGUCAUAGCCAGUGGAAAAAGGAAAGCUUAUGAUAUCUCUUGGUCUGGUAUUAAGAGGCCAGGCUGGAAAAGGAAGGCACCAUUUCCAUCAUAUUCUUCUGGAGAGAACUUAGUCUCAUCUUCUUCACAGAAGAUGGGGAAAGGUGGCCCAGCUGGUCAGCCCUGUGCCUGGCUGCAUUUCUGUUACUAUGGAAGGAGGGAAAAAGGAAAGCCAGCAGUGCAUGUCACGCUUACAUAAGCUCCCUCCAUCAGGAAACUUAAGACCAACUCCAUUUGAUCUGAUCAGAGGACGUCUAUAAGGACCAACACAGUGUCACAUUCAAAAGCAUCUUUCUCCCCCUCCAAUCAACCAGUGUCCUGGGGCCUUCUUACCUCUGGGACAGCAGGUAAGAAAAGAAACAACUUGCUGAGACUCUGACGCUGACAUCAAGAAAAACCUGGCUAGAAUCGGUGGAAACUAAGAUGGCUGACUGGAGUUUGCACAGAACAAGCUUGCUGGCGUCCCAGCCCGAAUUUCCACAUGUUUCAUACUAACUCCCCCCAAAUUCACACAUGUGACCCAUGAGAUAGCAGGAAGAAACAACUGGACAUGCGCAGGGCCUUCCCAGACCUCCUGUUUCCUUUCACCAGUUACCUAUAUAGUCUCAGAAUCUAACCCCUGAACCUUUUCUAAUAAAAAUACUGCUUGGAA